Long non-coding RNA from Oryza brachyantha (malo sina), 645 nucleotides. RefSeq lists it as uncharacterized. The record is from RefSeq and is a predicted model, not a curated record. NCBI's taxonomy places the organism in Eukaryota, Viridiplantae, Streptophyta, Magnoliopsida, Poales, Poaceae. The transcript is spliced from 2 exons.
ACUUCCUCUCUAACCCCCCCCCCCCCCCCCUCCUUUUUAUUUCUUUUCCUUUGCAUAGCUUGCCCCAUUCCUCCUUUCACCCUCCCCAUGAGGCCAUAGCCAGAGGUCUCAUCAGGGCUUCCUCAUGGGGUGGCUCCACUCCCUCUUCUCCCCCCUGAGGAAGCUCUGGGUUCGUGCGCAUUCCGAACGUCGAAACCGGAGGGGAAUGCACAUCCUCUACAAGGAUGUGAAGUCUUGCCAGGAUGAGGAUGUUCAGGUCCUGUGGUCCAUCCUGGUCGACUCGCACCGUCAUCCAGCUCUGAUGAAGCUGAAGCUCUAGGGUUCUUGAAGGGCAGGGCAAAGAUGUCAUGUCAUCCAUGGAUUUCCUGUGAUUUUUGCCGUGUAAUCGGCCAUUACCCUCUGUAUAGAAACAUCAUGAUUUCAUGAUUUGAAUGGCAUCAAGAUUCAAGAAACAUAGAAAGGAGAAAAAAAAUAGGCAGAUGUGUAUAUGCCUUUCUUGUGUGUUGAUGUGUGCUUCUUGUGGCUUUUGUGAGUGAAGGUUGAAAUGUCACCUUUGGUUGAUGUGAGUGAGGUUGAGUUUAUUGUGUUUUGUAUAUACUGAUGCUCUGAUGCCUUACCUAAUGGUAUGAAGUUUGGUAGUACGUA